GUGGGGAAUCUUCCACAAUGGACGAAAGUCUGAUGGAGCAACGCCGCGUGAGUGAAGAAGGGUUUCGGCUCGUAAAGCUCUGUUGUCGGGGACGAAUGUGCAGUAUUUGAAUAAAGUACUGUAAUGACGGUACCUGACGAGGAAGCCACGGCUAACUACGUGCCAGCAGCCGCGGUAAUACGUAGGUGGCAAGCGUUGUCCGGAAUUAUUGGGCGUAAAGGGAGCGCAGGCGGGAAGGUAAGUCGGUCUUAAAAGUGCGAGGCUCAACCCCGUGAUGGGAUCGAAACUAUCUUUCUUGAGUGCAGGAGAGGAAAGUGGAAUUCCUAGUGUAGCGGUGAAAUGCGUAGAUAUUAGGAGGAACACCAGUGGCGAAGGCGACUUUCUGGACUGUAACUGACGCUGAGGCUCGAAAGCCAGGGGAGCGAACGAGAUUAGAAACCCUGGUAGUCC
Molecule: ribosomal RNA, 450 nt
Filed under: uncultured bacterium
Lineage: Bacteria
Description: partial 16S ribosomal RNA
Rfam family: Bacterial small subunit ribosomal RNA
Source: RNAcentral